GCCCUUUCAUAAAUGAACCUCUCCCAUCAUCAGACACAGAGAAGUUUCUAAAUAAUUGAGAAUCAGAAAAGUUAGCUUGUACAUCUAGAUGUUCCUCAUUUGCAUCAGAAUCUGUCCCACGUUUUCCAACCUUGAAGAAACCCUGCUCAUUUUUCGAUUUGUACUCAUUAUCUGUUUCCAUUUCUGACUCCAUGGUAGUAA
RNAcentral lists this unclassified non-coding RNA (201 nucleotides) under Hevea brasiliensis (rubber tree). The record is from RNAcentral. Lineage: Eukaryota; Viridiplantae; Streptophyta; Magnoliopsida; Malpighiales; Euphorbiaceae.